RNAcentral lists this non-coding RNA (166 nucleotides) under uncultured Prevotella sp. The record is from RNAcentral. Lineage: Bacteria; Pseudomonadati; Bacteroidota; Bacteroidia; Bacteroidales; Prevotellaceae.
AGGUUCGCGCGUUGCGAUGAAAUGGGAAUGGGGUGAGAAUCCCCGACUGUCCCGCAGCUGUAAGGCCCUUUUAUCGCCGCCAAGCGUGUAGCCACUGCCUAUUUGAUUGUCGGGCGGGAAGGUGCUUGGUGGUAGGGUCGAAGUCAGAAGACCAGCCUCAGACAAU